AUUUUUGUACAUAAAUGAUUUAUAUUUAUAUAAUAUACACAUCCAUGAAAAAUUUCUUGGUAGGUAUUUGCUUCCAUGAUUAUAUUAGAGAUAAGUUAAGACACGUGCAGUCAACAGUACAAACGGUGGCUUACAUUUUCACGUUAUAUAGUUUGCUCUCAUAGUGUGCACUCUACUACAUGCACAAAACGUCAUUGGUUUAAUGGGUCCCACCAGGCUGUUUCUUCACUUUCCCAUUCUGUACUCUUCUUGACUUCUCAAUUCUUCUUUCGCACUCACACAGCGAGAUGUUCCUCUAGCCCGAUCCCCUUUCUCCUUUCCCCAAUCUCUCUGGUCACUCCAAAAUUGCUGCUGCCGAAUAGCUCCCAUCAACUCUGUUGUUCAUGCUCACCUGCAGCCACCCCCGCAAAUGGUGCUUCCAUAGUGUAUCCGUCGACGGCGGCUGGUAUGGUCCCUCAUAUGCCUCGGUCUCCUUGGAUUUUGAAUGGCGAUGGAUAGUAGGGCCGAAAGAUUAGCCGCAGCAAGGAGGAGGCGUGAUCAUUCAUCUGCAAAGUGCCGUUAUUGUAGGCGUCCGUACAGUUGAUUUGGGCGUGGAUUUCGUCUCCUGUAGCCUCGCUUGGAUCCAGCUUGAGUAUUAGGAUGCCGGCGACAUUGUCUUCCCCAAGUGCGCAAGGCAGACACAUUGUUUGUAUUCCCGCUCGAGGUAGUCGGGCACGUCGUCGUCAUCCCCCACGGCGUCAACAAUCUCCAAAGUUGAAAGUCUGCCCUGCAGGUCCCCCUUCUUCCUUUUCUUGACUGAUAUUUUCCCUUUUUCUUAACAUUUUCAUGUGUUUGUGCGGUUCAACUAAUAUAACGUAAUUAAGGAAAGACCUAUUAGUGGUAAAUGUUUCAUUAUUUUUCUUUCAAAUUUUGGAAAAACAUGUGAUUCUUUUGAAGUGCUCAAUAAUUGUUGAAUGACGUAGAUACUACAGUAAUAAGUUAGUGAAAUUGUAAAAAUGUAAGUAUAUGUGUGAGCAGACAUACCAAUGCAAAGUUGCAAACCCAAAACGUUGGAUCAUAUAAUCUAACUUUGCUCACAUAAAGAAGUAUGGAAAUCCACUAAAUGUCAAUAUAAAUUACUAAUAAUAUUUAGAUUUAAUUCAUCGCAAUUACUUUAGUGAAUUUUUUUGAAAUUUUAGUUUUUUUCUAACUUUAAGCAUGUCAUUCGAGUACUUUUUUUUGUCUAUUUUUACCUUGUUGACUUAUAGCAUCCUUAGAAAUGCCGCGAACUAAAACAUGUACGUCAUGUUCAUCUGCUAUGGUUGCUCAAUGUAUCACUUAUGCCAUCAGGCAGUGUGUUGAUGAGAUAAGGUACCAUUAAUCUACAAAGGAACGAAACAAAGUACAUUGUAUAUGCUAGUACAAAUAUGGGACAAAUAAUAAAUAAUUAGUAGGUUACCACUGAAAUUGCGAGGCUUACAUAGAUACGCACUUGUAUUAAGACCAUAAGCAGUUCUUGAAAAUGAAUUAUACAGUAGGGCCAUGUUGUUCCCCGGGUUAAAAAAAUAUCUUGAAAAGGAGGCAAUAAGAGAAAUAAAUCAUUAUUGAAAAGGAGGCAAUAAGAUAAAUAAAUCAUUUAUAGAAUAGUACACAUCAACAACCACAUACGUAGUCAAGAAGAAGCAUGUAUACUGAUGGUCUUACAUAUAUUCCAUUCUCUACUUACUCUGAUAACCUACUAACUUACGCAUACAUGCAAAAUGCAUUUGCAAGCUGGGCGUGCACAACACGCUUAUCUAUAGUCUAUUUUCUCUUGUUAUCUGAUAUACCGUCGAGUACCUCGUAUGUAGUAUCCAUCACUACAUGCAAGAAAAUAGAGAUAUAUACCUACAGUGUUAUGGUCGAGUACCUACCUUGGUAAUUAGGCAUAUACUUUUCAGCAAACUUGUCGUUGAAGUUCUCCAUGCCUGAAGAUAACACUGUCGUCAAACAUAACACUGUUGCCUGAAAAGUUGAAGACACACAAUCAUCUGUUAUAGAAAACACAAAAUUGACUUUACAGACUGAAGAUAAGACACUGAAGUUUCAGGAUUUCAAGCAUCUUGUCACAUCAUAUUAAAAACUGAUGAGAUUACCUGAUCAAUCUUUGUUCUAAGCGAAUAUUCUAUUGCCUAAAUUGUACGAAAUGACAUAUAUUAUGUCCCAAGGGGCUAAAGCUUUAUGCAUUGACAGAUUGGAAUUAAUCAAUGACGUCUAGAAAUAGCAGAAGCGUGGAAGAUUUAAAACAUUUUCUAACCACACCCUGAUCUGCUAAUGGAUGACAACAAACAUUAAGCAUCUCAGUCUUACAAUAGUUUUCUUACUUCCAUUCAAGAAUGCUGACCUUCCUAUCUAGACCAUAGUGGCCCGUUCGCUACUUCUUUUUGCUCCACAUACUGAUGGGUUGUGUUGCAAACAAAUUUACAGGAACCCGGUAAGUAACUAAUGAUGCCACUAUAAAAACACAAUCCAUAACUUGAUGUCUCCAAGUAUAGUAAGCUAUUCCUAUAUUUCGCGCAUCAAUCUGACUACCUUCAUAAUGCACUAUUUUGUUUUAGAGAAGGUGUGACCGAGGGCUAUGAGUUGUACCAUUGUAG
This 2615-nucleotide long non-coding RNA is filed under the name Triticum aestivum (bread wheat). RNAcentral describes it as "long non-coding RNA (TAES_LNC016118)". Lineage: Eukaryota; Viridiplantae; Streptophyta; Magnoliopsida; Poales; Poaceae. The record is from RNAcentral.